GAAGAAGUAGCUCAAUGGCAGAGCGGCUGUAUCACCCAUGAACAGUUGGGUCUUAAGUUCGAAUCUUGGGCUUCUUCCCCG
This 81-nucleotide transfer RNA is filed under the name Corynebacterium mustelae. RNAcentral's name for it is "tRNA-OTHER". It matches the Rfam family "tRNA". Rfam says of the family: Transfer RNA (tRNA) molecules are approximately 80 nucleotides in length. Their secondary structure includes four short double-helical elements and three loops (D, anti-codon, and T loops). Further hydrogen bonds mediate the characteristic L-shaped molecular structure. tRNAs have two regions of fundamental functional importance: the anti-codon, which is responsible for specific mRNA codon recognition, and the 3' end, to which the tRNAs corresponding amino acid is attached (by aminoacyl-tRNA synthetases). tRNAs cope with the degeneracy of the genetic code in two manners: having more than one tRNA (with a specific anti-codon) for a particular amino acid; and 'wobble' base-pairing, i.e. permitting non-standard base-pairing at the 3rd anti-codon position. The record is from RNAcentral. Lineage: Bacteria; Bacillati; Actinomycetota; Actinomycetes; Mycobacteriales; Corynebacteriaceae.